This is a long non-coding RNA of Oncorhynchus tshawytscha (Chinook salmon), 1133 nucleotides long. NCBI's taxonomy places the organism in Eukaryota, Metazoa, Chordata, Actinopteri, Salmoniformes, Salmonidae. The record is from Ensembl.
GUUCCUGUUACCAGUGUUCACGUUACGGGACUGUUUCGUCGUCGGCUUAUUGUUUUGAUCAUUGUUUAAGUAUCCCAUUUAAACUAUGGAUUAUCAUCACGCUGCAUUUUGGUCCUCCUCUCUUUCACCCGAAGACAAACGUGACACAGAGCCAGUAAUGAACCUCGGGGCAUAACGACAUACAGCACCUAAGGGUUUAACUGUGGACGCUGCAGCAUGCAUGUAAACCACAUCCCCAUAAUCCAAUACACACACACAAAGUAAUCCGGAGAGCAUCAGCGCGGCUCCAGUGAGACCACUAUCCAAAGCCCAGAGACCCAAAAACAACAGCAGCAGAGGGGGAGUCACUCCUACAGCAACACUGUGAGGUCACAAAGAGAUAUAGGGAUGGUUUUAAAAGACUUUCCAGCUUCCAAUCACAGUUUUCCAAGAAUGAUUUUCCAAAGUUUUCCAGGUCCGUCUCUCAGCAGGCAGGGAUCGAGCCCUGGAAGCUGGAAUGUGACACAGGAGAAGCUCACCCCCACGGAUAUUCACACACACACACACACACUCGUGCUCCGCACUCUUGUUCCUAAAAAACCCUCACACUCUCAUCUCCCUCACUCUGUAAGACCCAUCGUCUCUGCUAUACAUCCCCCUCUUACCACCCAACCUGACUACAUUGAGCAGAGAGAGCAACUCAGUGGCACAAAGACAGACAAAGAGGGAGAGAGAGAAGCAGGGUGUGGUGGGGGGUAGAGCUUUGGAUUUGGCUAUGGAGAAAAAGAGAGACAAGCGAGUAAGAUUGGAGAACCAAUGAAGUGAGGGUGAAAGAGAGGGAACGAGACAGAGAAAUAGAGGGAGGAUUGAGUACGGCAUGGGAAUUUCAUUCAGCUUUGACUGGGAAUUUGCCUCCUGACUUUUCCCGUCAAUAUAAAGUUUGUCUCUUGAGCCACCGUAGCAACAACAUACCCAGCAACACUUCCUCAAAAUAGGCAGAAUUCAUCUCAGAUAAAUCAAGAAAUCUGUCAUUGAUUUUGACGUUUUUGCCAAGGAAGUCUUAGUCGCGCAAUUUUACAUCUAACUGAGACAUUUGAUGCUUGAACUAUUAGUCUCUCUAUGAAUGUCAACAAACACUUCAUUGAAUAAUCCUG